Long non-coding RNA from Etheostoma spectabile (orangethroat darter), 889 nucleotides. RefSeq lists it as uncharacterized. NCBI's taxonomy places the organism in Eukaryota, Metazoa, Chordata, Actinopteri, Perciformes, Percidae. The record is from RefSeq and is a predicted model, not a curated record. The transcript is spliced from 3 exons.
GGGGAGCAAAAACCCAACACGGAUCAUUCCUUAGCUUGAUCUCCUGCACACUACAGAUACUUUGUUCUUCUGAAUAUGGCCAUCAAGCCCCCAGUACUUCUUCUGACAGAAUUUGGAUUGAAGACCAGUUACCUAACCUGAGGGCUAUUUCACAAACACAAGGAUCUGGGGGGCUCAGGCUCUGCGCUCUCUUUGCUCACAUCUUACCUGACAGACCGAACCUACAGGGUAAGUUGGAGAGGAUCUACCUCAGAACCUUGCCCACGCAAAACUGGGGUUCCUCAGGGAUCAGUAUUGGGCUAUCUCCUCUUUUCUCUGUACAGCAACUCUCUCAUGUUGCACGGCUUUUCUCAUCACACCUACGCAGAUGACACCCAACUAAUUCUCUCCUUUCCGGAGUCUGAAACUCAAGUAGCAGCACGUAUCUCGGCCUGUCUGACUGACAUUUCUUCCUGGAUGUCUACACACCAUCUGAAACUCAACCUUGACAAGACGGAGCUCCUUUUCCUUUUAGGAAAGGGCUCUCCUACCCAAGACCUGACUAUAACAAUUGACAACUCUGUGGUAGUCCCCACCCAGACUGCUAGAAACCUGGGUGUGACAACCAACUCUCUUUCACUGCCAACAUUGCUGCAACUACCCAAUCGUGUAGAUACAUGCCGCAUAACAUCAGAAGGAUAUGUCCACUUCUAACGCAGAAGGCGGCUAAGGUUCUGAAUUAGGUUUUAGUCAUCUCACAUCUAGACUACUGCAACUCCCUCCUGGUUGGCAUGCCUGGAUGUGCCACCCGGCCCCUGCAGCUCAUUCAGAACGCAGCAGCUCGACUUGUCUUCAACCUCCCCAAGUUCUCUCACACUACACUGCUCCUCUAGUCUAGAAAUCUAGACGC